GCACGAUGUGUUGUUAUGUCAUAUGAACACUUCAUAAGCCCAUGCAUUCAUAAUCUACAUACAUUUAACUAAUAUACAUAGGUUAUGUCAUAUGAACACUUCAUAAGCCCAUACAUUUAACUAAUAUUCAAAAAAGCUAGCAACAAACUUCUCAUGUUUUAAUAUAAUACUAAGGUAUAUUAAGAGGUAAUAUUAGAGUAACAUAAUUUAUGCUUGAGGAUGCUUACACUACUUUUGCACGAUGUAUUGUUAUGUCAUAUGAACACUUCAUAAGCCUAUAUAUUCAUAAUCUACAUAUAUUUAACUGAUAUAUCAUAUUUUAUAGGAAUUCUAUUCUAAAUAAAAAGAACCAAUCCAAACCUUUUCUUUGUGUAUUGUGCUAGGAGUCUUACAUCUUAUAUGUAUAAGAUCAUAGAUGACAAAGGGUUCAUAUAGCACGACGUCUGGAUCGAACGGCUAU
Molecule: long non-coding RNA, 460 nt
Filed under: Sorghum bicolor (sorghum)
Lineage: Eukaryota; Viridiplantae; Streptophyta; Magnoliopsida; Poales; Poaceae
Description: long non-coding RNA (SBIC_LNC003478)
Source: RNAcentral